Molecule: transfer RNA, 101 nt
Filed under: Obba rivulosa
Lineage: Eukaryota; Fungi; Basidiomycota; Agaricomycetes; Polyporales; Gelatoporiaceae
Description: tRNA-Asp
Source: RNAcentral
UCUCUGUUAGUAUAUCGGUUAGUACAUGCGCCUGUCAGGUCGGGGUGAUGAACCCCGGAAUGCAAACGCGCGAAAGCGGGGUUCGACUCCCCGACAGAGAG